GAGGGCACAGCUUAAAUGGUAGAGUGAGUGCUUAGCAUGCACUAGGUCCUGGGUUCAGUCCCUGGUACCUCCA
RNAcentral lists this transfer RNA (73 nucleotides) under Camelus bactrianus (Bactrian camel). It matches the Rfam family "tRNA". Rfam says of the family: Transfer RNA (tRNA) molecules are approximately 80 nucleotides in length. Lineage: Eukaryota; Metazoa; Chordata; Mammalia; Artiodactyla; Camelidae. RNAcentral also lists the same sequence under 1 other name. The record is from Rfam by way of RNAcentral.